This 440-nucleotide ribosomal RNA is filed under the name uncultured bacterium. Its description in RNAcentral is "bacterial SSU rRNA". It matches the Rfam family "Bacterial small subunit ribosomal RNA", at positions 340 to 774 of the family's 1533-position model. The record is from RNAcentral.
UACGGGAGGCAGCAGUGGGGAAUAUUGCACAAUGGGCGCAAGCCUGAUGCAGCCAUGCCGCGUGUAUGAAAAAGGCCUUCGGGUUGUAAAGUACUUUCAGUCGUGAGGAAGGUGUUAAGGUUAAUAACCUUAGCAAUUGACGUUAGCGACAGAAGAAGCACCGGCUAACUCCGUGCCAGCAGCCGCGGUAAUACGGAGGGUGCGAGCGUUAAUCGGAAUUACUGGGCGUAAAGGGCACGCAGGCGGUUAAUUAAGUUGGAUGUGAAAUCCCCGGGCUUAACCUGGGAAUGGCAUUCAAGCUGGUUAGCUAGAGUCUUGUAGAGGGGGUAGAAUUCCAUGUGUAGCGGUGAAAUGCGUAGAGAUGUGGAGGAAUACCGGUGGCGAAGGCGGCCCCUGGGACAAAGGCUGACGCUCAUGUGCGAAAGCGUGGGGAGCGAAAC